AANGNACGCUGGCGGCGUGCUUAACACAUGCAAGUCGUACGAGAACUCUUCUGCUUGCAGAAGAUAGUAAAGUGGCGCACGGGUGAGUAACGCGUGGGUAAUCUACCUCCGAAUCUGGGAUAACCCGCCGAAAGGCGAGCUAAUACCGGAUAAUAUCUUUAAACUUCGGUUUUUAAGAUCAAAGGUGGUCUCUACAUGUAAGCUACUGUUUGGAGAUGAGCCCGCGUACCAUUAGCUUGUUGGUAGGGUAAUGGCCUACCAAGGCCGCGAUGGUUAGCUGGUCUGAGAGGAUGAUCAGCCACACUGGAACUGACACACGGUCCAGACUCCUACGGGAGGCAGCAGUGAGGAAUUUUGCGCAAUGGGGGAAACCCUGACGCAGCAACGCCGCGUGAGUGAUGAAGGCUUUCGGGUCGUAAAGCUCUGUCAAGUGGGAAGAAACUGCUAGAUGUUAAUAUCAUUUAGCACUGACGGUACCACUAAAGGAAGCACCGGCUAACUCCGUGCCAGCAGCCGCGGUAAUACGGGGGGUGCAAGCGUUAUUCGGAAUUAUUGGGCGUAAAGGGCGCGUAGGCGGUCUCUAAAGUCAGAUGUGAAAGCCCGGGGCUUAACCCCGGAAGUGCAUUUGAAACUUAGGGACUUGAGUAUGGGAGAGGG
This 657-nucleotide ribosomal RNA is filed under the name uncultured bacterium. RNAcentral describes it as "bacterial SSU rRNA". It matches the Rfam family "Bacterial small subunit ribosomal RNA", at positions 28 to 658 of the family's 1533-position model. The record is from RNAcentral.